This 253-nucleotide ribosomal RNA is filed under the name uncultured bacterium. RNAcentral describes it as "partial 16S ribosomal RNA". It matches the Rfam family "Bacterial small subunit ribosomal RNA", at positions 524 to 776 of the family's 1533-position model. The record is from RNAcentral.
UACGAAGGGGGUAAGCGUUGUUCGGAAUUACUGGGCGUAAAGGGCGCGUAGGCGGUCUUGCAAGUCAGAUGUGAAAGCCCCGGGCUCAACCUGGGAACUGCAUUUGAAACUGCAAGGCUUGAGUAUGGGAGAGGUAAGCGGAAUUCCGAGUGUAGAGGUGAAAUUCGUAGAUAUUCGGAAGAACAUCAAUGGCGAAGGCAGCUUACUGGACCAUAACUGACGCUGAGGCGCGAAAGCGUGGGGAGCAAACAGG